This 2799-nucleotide ribosomal RNA is filed under the name Triticum aestivum (bread wheat). Its description in RNAcentral is "partial small subunit ribosomal RNA". Lineage: Eukaryota; Viridiplantae; Streptophyta; Magnoliopsida; Poales; Poaceae. The record is from RNAcentral.
AUGGAGGCCGCCAUGAUCCCCUUGAUCAAGAAGCUCGGCGGCCUACUCGCGGAUGAGUACAACCUGGAGACACGCGUGAGGAAAGGCGUCGAGUCUCUGAUAAUAGAGUUGGAGAUGAUGCACGCCGUUCUGCGCAAGAUUGGUGACAAGCCGCCGGAGCAGUUCGACGAGCAGGUCCUCAUCUGGGCGGGCAAAGUGAGGGACCUCUCCUACCGCAUGGAGGAUGCCGUCGACAGUUUCGUCGUGCGCGUGGAGGACGACGGCCAUGACCGUGGCUCCACCAACAUGAAGAACAGAGUCAAGAAGUUCCUCAAAAGGGCCACCAAACUGUUUACCAAGGGUAAGGCUCUUCAUCAGAUCUCCGAUGACAUUGAAGAAGCUCAGCGGCUCGCCAAGGAGUUGGGUGACCUGCGCCAAAGGUAUAUGAUUGACGCGCACGCCAGCGCUAAUGGUGAUGCCAUUGACCCUCGUCUGAAGGCGGUGUACAAAGAUGUCACAGAACUUGUUGGGAUAGAUCACAUCAGAGAUGGGCUGAUUGAAAAUCUGUGUGGUUGUGAUGAGAGAUCCAAGGACCAAUUAAGGACCAUGUCUAUUGUUGGAUUUGGCGGACUGGGCAAAACAACUCUGGCCAAAGCAGUGUAUGACAAGAUCAAAGUGCAGUUUCACAGUCGAGCUUUUGUUUCCGUUUCUCGGAAUCCUGACAUGACCAAGAUAUUCAAGAAGAUAUUAUAUGAACUUGACAAGAGCAAGUAUGCAACCAUCAACGAAGCUGCUAGGGACAAUGAACAACUCAUCGAUGAAAUGAGAAUGUUUCUUCAGGACAAGAGGUACCUUAUUGUAAUUGACGACAUAUGGGAUGAAGAAGCAUGGGAAUUUAUCAAGUGUGCUUUCUCUGACAAUUGUCUUGGUAGUCGAGUAAUGACUACGACCCGCAUAGGCAGUAUCUCUAAAGCAUGUUGUUCUUCUGGUGAAGAUAUAAUAUAUCAUAUGAAACGUCUUACUGAUGAUGACUCCAGAAAACUCUUCUACAAAAGAAUAUUUCCUCAAGGAAGUAAGUGUCCUGCUGAAUUGGAGCCAGUAUCUAGAGAAAUCUUAAAGAAAUGUGGUGGAGUACCACUAGCGAUCAUUACUAUUGCUAGUAUUUUAGCUAAUAAUGGUCAGGAUCAAUGGAUAAAGCCAAAGUAUCACUGGGACAACAUACUUGGCUCUAUUGGUCGUGGACUCGCAGAAGGUGGUAGUGCAAACGAUAUGCAUAGAAUAUUGUCCUUUAGUUAUUACGAUUUACCUUCUCAUCUGAAGGCUUGUUUGCUAUAUCUCAGUAUAUUUCCAGAGGAUUUUGAGAUAAGGAGAAAACGACUGAUAUGGAUGUGGAUAGCCGAAGGCUUGGUGCAAGAUGGAAAAAAACAAACUGGACUAUUUGAGCUCGGAGAGAGUUACUUCAAUGAACUCGCAAAUAGAAACUUGAUUCAACCAAUACAUGUUGAUGAUACAGGCAAGGCGAAAGCUUGUCGCGUCCAUGAUAUGCUUCUUGAUCUCCUAUGUUCCCUGUCCAGUGAAGUAAACUUUGUUACUAUAUUAGAUGGUACUCAGCAAAGCAAACAUAUUUCACACAACAAGAGUCGCAGAUUAUCUUUUCAAAAUAGCAUGUCAAAGCUCACCACCCAUGGGGUCGAUGCAACAAGUAUGUCACAAGUGAGGUCUGUUGUUCUCUUUAGAACUGAUACUGAUCUGAUCCGCACUGUUUCAGGCUUUCAUGUUUUACGUGUAUUGGAUUUAGAAGGUUGUGAUCUUCGAAAAAAUCGCCAACAUAUUGAUCUCAGGUAUGUUGAGAAUUUAUUACACCUAAGAUAUCUGGGGCUGAGAAAAACUUUUCUUGGUGAGCUCCCUGUGGAAAUAGGGAAGCUAAAGUAUUUGGAGACACUCGACUUAGCAGAAAAUGGGUCAAGUGUAGCAACGAUUCCAUCAAGUGUUGUCUGUCUAAGACGUUUGAUGUUCCUAGAUGCAGGCAAAGCGGUAUUACCCGUUGGGAUCGGGAACCUGACGUCCUUAGAAGAGUUGACUGGAAAAUUGGUGGAUAUGAAAGAGCUAGGGCAAUUGGUCAAGCUGAGAGUGCUAUACCUUUACUGGAAUGGGGACGAUGAGAGCAUGUGUAAUUCUUUGCAGCUGUCCUUGGGCAAGCUGCAGAAAAUGCAGAGUCUAACAAUUUUCAAUGUAGGGGAUGCAAGGUCUGAUGUCAGCUGGGAUGGUUGGGUGCCCACCCCACAGCUUCGGUAUCUCUUGUUUAGAUGUUGCACCACCACAUUGCCUAGGUGGGUUAAUUCAUCAUCGUUUCCCCUCCUCUCCUCCAUGAGUAUUUCAGUGGACAGAAUCCGGCCAGAAGUUGACAUUCAAAUCCUCGGGACGCUUCCCGCUCUUUGUCUUCUCUGGCUGUUGACCAGCAAACAUCAGCACACUUGUGUCAAAACAUUUGUCGUUGGCGCUAAUGCAUUCCGGUGUUUGAGAGAGUGCAGCUUCUUUGGUUUUCUCACGGGGCCAUCAAUGUUUCCACGAGGAGCUAUGCCAAGGCUUGAAUUCCUUAUGUUCUCAGCCCGAGCGUCGGAUAUUGUCGGCGGUGACCUGGAUGUCAGCAUGGGGCAUCUCCCUUUCCUCCGGCAUGUCAUGGUUUACCUGUGGCUUGAGGAAGGCAGCUCUUUAGAUAAGUUUAAGGAGGAAGCGGAUGUUGUACUGAGGCAUGCACUGGACAUCCAUCCCAACCGUCCCACCCUUGAGACCUAUAAGGAUGCUUUUUAUAACCAAUGA